GAGGCGAAGCAUCAUGUUUACUUCGUUCACACUGCAUUUAUCAACAGCAACACCAUUCAAUCCUUCAGCCACAACAGCUGCAUCUCCAACUUCCGAACAAAUCAUCGGCAUCUUACCUUUCUUAGCCUUCAGAAUUUUAGAGUUAACCACAUUCACACCUUCUUCAACUUCAACAUCACCACCUGCUUCGAUUUCACCAACUCCUCCCGUUGCCACGUCGCAACCAUCACCACAAUCCCAAUGGUUUCAAUUUAAUACAUAUUUAGUCGAUUAAAGGAUAAAUAUUAAUUAGAUAUUAAUUAGAACAUGAUUUUCCUUCACAUUUUUAUUACAAAUACAGCUUUGUAUGAAUGGACGAAUGGUGAAUGAUGAAUGAUGAAAAAUGAAUCUGCAUUCGUGGCUAAUUUUUAAAUUUU
RNAcentral lists this long non-coding RNA (416 nucleotides) under Cicer arietinum (chickpea). Its description in RNAcentral is "long non-coding RNA (CARI_LNC003639)". Lineage: Eukaryota; Viridiplantae; Streptophyta; Magnoliopsida; Fabales; Fabaceae. The record is from RNAcentral.